GACGAACGCUGGCGGCGUGCUUAACACAUGCAAGUCGAGCGGAAAGGCCCUUCGGGGUACUCGAGCGGCGAACGGGUGAGUAACACGUGAGUAACCUGCCCUAGGCUUUGGGAUAACCCCGGGAAACCGGGGCUAAUACCGGAUAUGACCUGGUGCCGCAUGGUGUUGGGUGGAAAGUUUUUUCGGCCUGGGAUGGGUCCGCGGCCUAUCAGCUUGUUGGUGGGGUGAUGGCCUACCAAGGCGAUGACGGGUAGCCGGCCUGAGAGGGCGACCGGCCACACUGGGACUGAGGCACGGCCCAGACUCCUACGGGAGGCAGCAGUGGGGAAUAUUGCACAAUGGGCGGAAGCCUGAUGCAGCGACGCCGUGUGAGGGAUGAAGGCCUUCGGGUUGUAAACCUCUUUCAGCAGGGACGAAGCGUGAGUGACGGUACCUGCAGAAGAAGCGCCGGCCAACUACGUG
This 462-nucleotide ribosomal RNA is filed under the name uncultured bacterium. RNAcentral describes it as "partial 16S ribosomal RNA". It matches the Rfam family "Bacterial small subunit ribosomal RNA", at positions 28 to 507 of the family's 1533-position model. The record is from RNAcentral.